Long non-coding RNA from Lutra lutra (Eurasian river otter), 4851 nucleotides. RefSeq lists it as uncharacterized. The transcript is spliced from 2 exons. The record is from RefSeq and is a predicted model, not a curated record. Lineage: Eukaryota; Metazoa; Chordata; Mammalia; Carnivora; Mustelidae.
GUCUGCAUCCCUGUAGCCCGAGACUGGCCUCUCUCCCUACAUCUCUGUGGGGGGUUCUUAGCUUUGUUCCUCCUUUCCCCCAGGAACCUUCCUAUCCUUGCUUUUCUGCUUUAAAACCAGAAACCUUUGUGCUCAGAACAGCAGGUUCCAUUGGCCUGAGAGGGCAAAAGAAAGAUGCGUUUCUUUUGACCUUAGCUUGAACGUAAAGACUCAGGGGAAGUGAUCUAAAUUUUGGUUUCCUAGAGCUCAGUCCUGAACCUCACGGCAGACACAUGCCUCCUCUCCACGACUUUACUCUCAGGGUUUUUGAGGUCAUUUGGGUAAUCUUCUUUUUUCCUUUUUCUUUUUGGAGCACAGACCCUUUAUAUGAAAUGAAAGCAAAGUAGGCCUGGUUGACUCAGGGUACAGGGCUCGGAACCUGAAGCCACUAUCCUUUUAGUUUUUCUGUCUUAUCUCCAAAGCACUUCCAGAACCCAGCUCAAAUGCCACUAAGUGAAAAGUGUCUUAAACUUUCUAGAGGCAUAGGCUCCUCAGAAACAAGCAAAAGAGGUGGUAUAUCACAGCUCAUUCCCAUUUGGUGAGGGAGCUUUUCCUGUAGGAUCACAGAAGAGGAGAGAACGGGGUCCCAUGGGGACCAGCAGAAAGCCCUAGUGGGGGUGGCUGCUUGGUGAAGGGGAAGGAGAGGUGGCUAGGGGUCCUCACAGGGCCCAGAGUGUUCUGUAAAUGCUUUGGGGGCAGAACGGGUCCUGGGGCUAGGGCACUGGAUAGGAGUCUGUACCAUCUUGAAGCCUACCAAUUUACACCAUCGAGUAUUUCAAACGGUGAAAUUAUCCAAACCUUUAUAUUCCAACAAAAGCUUAAAUUGGGCCUUUCCCCAGGAUCUUCUGUCCCCAGCUGAGAUACACACUUGUGCCCCAUUCCCCUCCCUGCUCUCCUUCCUCUUUCCCUCAUUCUCUGCAUGCCUGCUUCUGUGUGCUUCUGCACCAAGGAGGGGAGCUUGAGCUCCACACACACCAGCUGACAUGGAUCUGGGGGUGACUAGCAGCCUCCCAGUAAUAGGGACGUGAACUGGAAUGGGUGGAACCAAGUUAGGAAAAGGUGCCAGGCUUAGUUGGAGAAAGCGUUUGCAUAUUUCUAUCCAGGAAAGAAGCUAGAAUCAGUUAUACUUUACAAAGUGUUGAAUAAGUUCCUGUCAGAGGCCCAGUGCUGUACUCAGUUCUAGGGGCCCGCCAGAAGAGAAGAGGUUGAUGUAGUUUUCAUCUAGCUUUGAGAAGUCGCAAGGUUAAUUGAAGAGGAAAUUGGACACACCUGGAAUCAGCUAAGCACUGACUGGUCUGUGGUACUGGACCCUACAUUGCAUGGCUCCGUCCAAGAAACUACUGGGCAAAAACUUACUGGAGAAAACUUAAAGGAUGUAGGAAGAUUGGAGCCCAGUCGGCGAUUGCCUCGAGAGAAUGGGAUUGGAGGCGAGGACGGGGUGGAAAGACACACCUUUCAUUUUUUACCUUGUACACGUUUUCUUUAAAAGGAGAAGGUGUUCCUGCUAUAACUUAAAAGCAACAAAAUAUUUUUAUGGUUUCUGUUCUAUAUAUUGAUGUUCUUUGCCCAACUGGAACAUGGUGUUUGUGGUGGAAGGAUGUCGAAAUUACAGCUGGAUUGGUCUGGUUGGGUGGUGGGUUUGGAGGUUUGUGUGUCAGACCACAGGAAAUGUAGGCCACUGAGCAGGGAAGCUAUGGUGAGAGCAAUGGUUUCAAAGGAUUUGGCUGAGGGUGUAAGGAUGAAUAGAAGAGGGUGGGAACUAGACACAGAGGUCUCAAUUAGGAUUUGUUGUAACCUGGGCAUAGAGUGAAGAAAAGGUGGUUAGAAAUAGAAAGGACUGAUGUUGAAAAUAUUUAACCACCAGAAGAACCCAGGCACUGACCUACGGGAAUAGGCCCUACCUAUGGAGAACUGGCCCUGCUGUCACCAGGGAUGCAAGGCACUGACUAGAUCUUAGCUCCCCGUAGAGAUGUGUCAAAGUUCACACCGGAUGUGUUAGAAAAGACCCAUCAAGGAUGAUGUCAAAGCUCCUUGGAUGUUGGAAGGAUUGGCGGUACCUCAGCUAGAAAUGGGAGUGGUUGUGAAGGAAUGCCCAUGAUGACAGCAAAAGUUUUACUUGGACCCCCUGAGAUGAAUAGACAGGUGGAGAUCUGUGGGGAGAGGACUUUUAAGGUGCUGGGAAGUACGUGAGGUGGCCCAGGGAAGAGGUCAGCACUGGACAUGCUGAUGGGGACUCGUGUGAAUGAAUUCCAUGAGUUCACUCCCUCAGCCGGUUCCAUGCUUUGGGAGCUGGGAAGACAGCGACAUAAUCCACCCUUUAAGGUGUUCAGAGACCUUAAAGGGGAGAGACAGGGGAACCAGCAGUGCUGCAUGCUCCGGGCAGGUCUGUCAAAGGAGGUGUGCUAAGGGUGGGCCCUGGAGGAACAGAUACCAGCAUUCAUACCAAAACAGGAAAUCUUCCCGAAGGUGAUGGCCUCUAAACUGAGUUGAAGGAUCUUGCUAGGUUGAAGUGAGCAGGAAAGGGGGAAGAAUAUUCCAGGCAGAGGGAAUAGCGUAAGAUAGAGAGGUUUGAAACUGCAAUGAUUCUGGGAACUUCAGUAGCUCUGAAAGGCUGAAGGAAAGACUGAUUUCACUACUUUGUGAAAUAAAAUUAGAUAAAUAAGAUAAAUUUCACUAUUUUGGACCUGAAAUAAAGUAGUAACAGCCAAGACUGUGGUGAAAAUAUGGAUAAAGGAGCCAUUGAAGGAUAGGUUUCUGAUGGAACUUUGUAGAGGGCUGGCCCCAGGGAUGAGUGUCAGGUGCAGCCAUGCAAUAUUAGUGUAAGGAGCUAAUUUAAAAAGAUACAGCUCUCAGGGUCCAGCCUGGAAUUCAGAUUCAGGAAGACUUGGGUGGGAGGCAAAAUCUGAAUUUUAAUAAUACUCCCCUUCUCCCAUAUGAAUCUAAAGUGCGUGAAGGUUUAAGUGUUUCGUAAAGACAAAAUUUCAGGGCCAUCUGUCAUUGAGAGGCUGGAAGAAGAAGAGUCAUCAAAGGAAACAGAAAAGACAGAAAAGGUGGGGGAAAAACAGAAGUGUGCAACAGUGUUGGACCUUACAGAGCACUGAGAAGGAUGAGGGCAGGGCCAGCAAAUGGUUAAAUAAAUCACUUCAAACAAGAACAUGUAUGGGGAAGCUAGUGUCUGACCCUGCUAUGCACUCAGCGAGUUUUGUGCAUGAGAAAAGACUUUGAAUAUAGUGGUGGGAACGAAGGCAAAGAUGCAAAAGUUUAAGAAGGGAAUGACCAACCAAAACUGAAAGGCCAGAACAGGUUGAGGAAAAUAUUCACAGCAGUGUGAUGGGAAGGGUUAAUAUUAUUUUUCUACAAAAAGCUCUGCCUAGCAAACAAGAGUUCCCUCUAAAGCCCAGCAGACAAAUGGUCAGAGAAGUUGCGCUGACAACCCAGAGAAGAGGAGGUAGAACUGGUUAACAAAUAUGGAGGUUUAGCCUCACCAGUAUCAGCGAAAUGCAAGUUGAAAUGAGCCUCCAUAUUUUGACUCUUAAGUUUGGGAUAGUAGAGUAAAUUGCAAUGGCCCUUUCGGAAACAGCCUGCGUGUCAAAAGCUGUAAAAUUAUUCCUGCUGGUUUUACCCUUUAAUUUUACUUCUGGGAAUUUCUCCCAAAGAAAUAAUUCAAGGUCGCACCUGGCUGGCUCAGUUGGAAGGGCAUGCCACUCUUGAUCUUGGGGUCAUGAGUUUGAGCCCCACACUGGGUGUAGAGAUUACAAAAAUAAAUGAACUUUAGGAGAAAAUAGAAAUAAUUCAAAAUAUGGAAAAAUUGAAAGCAGAAGGAUGUUCAACAUAACAUUAUCUCUAACUGAAAAAAAUUGGAGACGAUUUCAAAAGUCAAUAAGAUAAUGACUAAAUAAUUACAGGAAACCCAUUUACUAGACCUUUACAGAGUUACUAAUUUUUUCAUGACUAUAUAAUCAUAUGUUUUAUAUCAAGUGGACAAAAUGGGAUAUAAAGCAGUAUGUACACUGUCAUCUAAAUUUUGUUUAAAAAAACAAUAUGUUUGUCGAUUAUAUUCAGUAUAUAUUAUGUGGAUAGAUGAAACCCCAUGAAGUGUUAAUAGUAACUUCACUGGGUGAUGGGAAUUUGGGAAACUUUUAUUUUAUAUAUUUUUCUGUGUUUUCUACCUUUUUUAUGUAGACCAUGCAUUGCUUUGAGAACCAGAAUAAAAAUCAAAAUACUAUUUGUUUUAAAAGUAAGGCAUCAACUUGGAUAUAGCUUAUAAUGAUAUUUUUAAAUUAUGUAAGAAAAAAGACUAAUAAGAGAGGUAGGAUUAUGGAUGGUUCAACUUUUCUGGACUCUCUUGAAGGUCAAGGUGAUGACCCGUGUGUAUGAGGGAGGCCUGUGAGUUUGCUCAGAAGAUGCUGACCUGUGAGCAGCCUGGGUCUUUUAGAGACCACACCUUGCUUUCCCAGCAUCUCCCUUCCCAGUUCCUGGUGCUUAAGGUCUGUAGGAAAGUUUCCUCCUAGCUGUCCAAAAGCUUUCACAAGAUGCUGGAACAUUAGCCCUGGUUUGAGCAUUGAGUCCACUUUGUGCUCUCGAGUGUAAGGACUCCAGAUUCUGAUUCGGUUUCUCUGAGAGUGGAUACAGGGACCCAGGGUCUGUAGAAGAAUGACAGCCACUUGCGAGGACAAAACUGGAGGGGCCACAGACUCUCAGAUCCUGAGAGGCCCCUAGCUGAGGACAGUUAGUGCAUUUUGCUCGUCCCAGGCCAGAAUGGCCAUCCAGUCUUUAAAAAAGUAAUAAAGGAAGAAAAGAAAAGAAAAAAAA